GUGAAAUCCUAUAGCUUAACUAUAGAACUGCUUUGAAAACUGUUAAUCUAGAAUGUGGGAGAGGUAGAUGAAUUUCUGGUGUAGGGGUAAAAUCCGUAGAGAUCAGAAGGAAUACCGAUUGCGAAGGCGAUCUACUGGAACAUUAUUGACGCUGAGAUGCGAAAGCGUGGGGAGCAAACAGGUUUAGAUACCCUGGUAGUCCACGCCCUAAACGAUGUACACUAGUUGUUGUGAGACUUGAUCUUGCAGUAAUGCAGUUAACACAUUAAGUGUACCGCCUGGGGAGUACGGUCGCAAGAUUAAAACUCAAAGGAAUAGACGGGGACCCGCACAAGCGGUGGAGCAUGUGGUUUAAUUCGAAGAUACACGAAGAACCUUACCUGGACUUGACAUAGUAAGAACUUUCUAGAGAUAGAUUGGUGUCUGCUUGCAGAAACUUAUAUACAGGUGCUGCACGGCUGUCGUCAGCUCGUGUCGUGAGAUGUUGGGUUAAGUCCCGCAACGAGCGCAACCCUCGUGUUUAGUUGCUAACAGUUCGGCUGAGAACUCUAAACAGACUGCCUACGCAAGUAGGAGGAAGGUGAGGACGACGUCAAGUCAUCAUGGCCCUUACGUCCAGGGCUACACACGUGCUACAAUGGGAUAUACAAAGAGCCGCAAUACGGUGACGUGGAGCAAAUCUUAUAAAAUAUCUCCCAGUUCGGAUUGUAGUCUGCAACUCGACUACAUGAAGUUGGAAUCGCUAGUAAUCGUAGAUCAGCUAUGCUACGGUGAAUACGUUCCCGGGUCUUGUACUCACCGCCCGUCACACCAUGGGAGUCGAA
Molecule: ribosomal RNA, 824 nt
Filed under: Aliarcobacter cryaerophilus
Lineage: Bacteria; Pseudomonadati; Campylobacterota; Epsilonproteobacteria; Campylobacterales; Arcobacteraceae
Description: bacterial SSU rRNA
Rfam family: Bacterial small subunit ribosomal RNA
Source: RNAcentral